This is a long non-coding RNA of Strongylocentrotus purpuratus (purple sea urchin), 627 nucleotides long. RefSeq lists it as uncharacterized. The record is from RefSeq and is a predicted model, not a curated record. The transcript is spliced from 3 exons. NCBI's taxonomy places the organism in Eukaryota, Metazoa, Echinodermata, Echinoidea, Camarodonta, Strongylocentrotidae.
UACAGCCCCCUGGAAAUACUGUCACAGCUAGAGUUUGAAAGUGAUGCUGAUGAGGAUGCCCAGCCUUUUUCUGCCAGUAACUCAGUCAAAACUGGUGGUGAGACUUUAUUGUCUGUUUUCGGUGGAAGAUGCUGCUCUUUCGAUUGCCUGGUGAUAGUGACACGAGCAGAUGCAGCUGCAGCCCGCUCAGCCUUCAAGGAGAAAUCUUUGUAUGAUCAGCGGAUAUAGCUUCUGAAGUACUUCAGGACUCAUUCUUCUCAAGCUGAAGAUGCGAGCUUUCAGUUCUCAUUCAGCAUUGGUCUAGAGCCGGUGUGUGCUACAGCCUGGUACCAGGUGAUUGGAAUUGUGAGAUCAAGAUUCUACUACUAGCAAAAACGGUUCAUAGCAGUGAGAGACAGAAAUACUACAAGCACAUUCAAAAAGCGAAGGCAAGCCCAGACAAAUAUUUGAGCAUCAUCAUCGAUGGGAUAUGGAUCAACACUGCACAGCAAUACCGCAACUACACCCAGCACCCAAAGCCCUAAGCCACACGGACCAACUCAACACACACAUCACUGGUGCAAUUGUAGAUGGAAGUGGUCAACACACUCAUAUCGACAUCAAAGAAUACCUUCAUGACAGCAACCU